GUCUUUUGUUUUUCACUGACACUGGAGGAGUGACUGGGGAGUUUCUGCUAGAACUCACUAAGCCAGUUGCCCUGACUGAAUGGGAGCUUCUACACUAUCCCAAAAAGAGGAUGCCCCACAAGAUCAGAAGGACUGAUGACUGGAUGAGGAAACCCAGCCAAGACCCUUGCCCCAAGGGACAAGGAGAGUCCUCUGGAGCCCAGGACCUCUCACUACAAAACUGUAGUCAGCUCUUUCUAACACUAGUUCUGCCCCCAAAGGCCUUUGAUCACAACACUCAUGGCAGGCAAGUACUGUGAGUACCAUCCUUCAUCCCAGGUGUUCUGGAAUGGUGAAUGAUCAUUGUGUUGCAUCACAAAAUCAUAGAAUUCCAAACGGAAGGAGCUUUGGAGAUCAUGCCGUUGUAAGCCCUUCAUUUUAUAAUUGGGGAAACAGAGGCUUAGAGACAUGAAGGCAACAUAGGCGGUGGAGAUUGGAGGACAUUCCCUUGUGAGUAUCAAAAAUCAGGAGAAUAAGCCAUUGGCAGAUCUAGAAGUGGAAUUCAUUCUGGGAUUUGUAAUCAACGGGUCCAACUUUGAGACUCAGGAAGUGGGUCUCAACCUUUGGACCUAGCCUUGUGGUAACUGAGACAAUUAUUCAUCCAGUAGAGACAUUGCAUUUGAAUAUGAAGUUGGUAGGACCAAUGUUAUAUAGAAGCUGCAUUAAGUCUGCGUCUACGUUCCCCAAGGACUGAUGUGGUAUGGGAAACUUGUGCCCCUGUAAAAUGUUAGUACUUCUUAUAUCUUUGAAGUAAACAUCCCUUUGUAAAAGCAAAUUGAUGUUAAUUGGUUAAAUGGAACUGGAGUACUAGUAGUGAUACUGGUUACUAAUAGUGAGAGGGACACACUGUGAAUGGGGACUUGACUCAAUCCCAUUAGAAAGAAACACCCUCAACCCCUCAGGGAUACCCGUAGGACCUUGGAAACUUUGCUCUGGAAGAAGGAGGCUAGAGAACUUGCUACCUAGGUAGUGUAAGUAUUUAACA
Molecule: non-coding RNA, 1024 nt
Organism: Phascolarctos cinereus (koala)
Lineage: Eukaryota; Metazoa; Chordata; Mammalia; Diprotodontia; Phascolarctidae
Source: RefSeq, a predicted model, not a curated record